CGUGUCGUGUUUAAAUGCUCGCAGCGUGCUUGGAUCCCUCUGUGUCGUGCGAGUGAAGGACGUUUCUUCUGCCCAAGGAGUUGUUUUUUUCGGAUUAAUGGGAGACCUAGGAGAGAAAAUAAUAGAUUGUUCCUGUCUAUUUGUCUGUUCUCUCCCAGCCUUUCUGAUGUCUACAGGGCUCAGCAUUCCAGGAAAAAACUGUCAUCCUCACAUCCUCCCAGCUGUGAUGUUACUUAUUUGUCACAGCAUGACAGAUAAAUAACAUCAUUUGUGUUUGUAUGUAGCCUUAGAAAUGUUGUACUUUAAUUACAUGAAAUUCAUGUCCCAGGAGGCAUUCUGGCCACUGGUUAGGUUUUUGCUAACUUUUAAAAUUCUUUUAAGUUGAAGAGAGUGCCAGAGUUUACAGCCCUGUGCUGUACUUCCUGAUACGGUCAAUUUAAAACCCUUCAGCUCCAACAUAAAACCAUGUGUCCCAUGUGCUAAGAAACAGGCUGGAUGCCUUCCAAAUACUUCUGAAAAACAUCUUGGAAAGAAAAUGAGCACUUUGCUUGGAAUUGAGCUGUUCAAGGUGAUCAUCUGCUGUGACUCACUGGAAUGGUGCUUGAACUUGGCUGCAAACUGCGGGACCAACAUGUUCAGUGGGCAGAGUUUGUGUGACUGGGGAAUGCAGCACAGCCCAUCCUGGAGCUUUCCUCCUCCCUGCCCACCCCGAAGACUGAAAUCGUGGCAGAAUCUGCUUAGCAUGGCAAUAUAGGCUAAACAGCUUGGAAAACAAUUUCCAAGGUUGUAUAACUGUCAGAAGAGAACAUCUCUUAAGAGCUAUUUGGCUUGGAUAUGAAGUGACACUUGGACAAUGCACAGGAUUUUCUUGGUAGAAGAUGGACUUGUCUGAAUCUGAUUUUAUUUUCCUGCCCUCCUUUCUGAAGAUGCCUUGCUGCAGGGCUGUGUAUGGUAGUUUUGGAAUUCCCUGUUAAUUUUGCAUUUCAAAUUAAUUAUUUUUUUAAAGAGUGAUUAAGACCUGGAGCUUCAUCCUCUCUGCAAGCACACUUGAAUAAAAUGUGGAAACACUUCCAACUUUUCUCAUUCCUAUGAGGCAGCCCUGAGAACACUCUUCUGUGUGGUUUAGCAGUUGUGUACCACUAGUGCUGUGUAUAUGCAUUGUGCUUCUUCUAGAACAAAAUAAAUUACUGUGCUAUAUUGAGAUUAAUGUUCCUGUCCUAGAUGGUGGGCAAGAAAUCCUCUUUUUUGAGGCACAGUCAUGGUUUAGGUAUCUGUUCUAAUGAACAAUUAUUGCUGCAUAGGUAUGGCUGAUUCCCUGCUGCCUUCCUUUCUUCUUCCUGCUCUUUUAGGAGAGUGUGUGUGAGGAUCCAGACUCCAGCACGGGUCAGUUGAGGGCAGGAGGCAUAUUUUGGGCUGCAAAAUGAUAAUUGAUAGAGAACAGGAAUUCUCCCAGCCCGUUUCUUGCUUUCACUCUGCUCCACAACAGUUGUUAUUUGAGCCAGUGUGUAGUGUAACUCUUACAAAGUGCUGUGACAUAGCCCCAAAUCCUCGUGUCCCCUCUUGGCCUUUGGCAGGAUUGUUCCUGGCAGCUUGCUCUGGUUUGAGCAGUCAGGUGACCCUGAUUUUCCCACUCCCACCCCCACACCUUUGUUUUGUAAGCUGGCUGAGUUUCAGCCCUGCAAAGACAGGGUUUUUAACCUGCCACAACUUGGCUGGACUCAUCUAAACGUCACUUGUGACUUGGGGAAGGAAGAGCUGCUUUUGGGAGUAAGAGAAAGGAGACCUUGGGCUGCUCUGGCUUCAGGAUGGCUUAAAAGAUUGUAACCCUGACCUUCUAUCUUCCUGUUUGUCCUGCUGUGUCUGCAGGGCGUGGAACCACCUUCAGCCUGGGAUCCGUUCAAGGCAGCAGGGAGGAAUCACUUCAGCAGGCUCUGAGGCUCAGUUAUCUGAAAUAUGGAAUACAACCAGAGAGAAACAAUAGCGUGUUUGUAUUGUAAUUAUCAAACUAAGAUAAUUCACUUUUAAAUACGUCCAGAUACUUUCACACAAACUUAAAAGCACCUGUUGACUUCUUAAGAAUAUUCUUGGGAUCUACUGAUAGGAGAAAACAGAUUCUCUGUAGAGAUUUGUUUAUAAUAUUCCCUGUAGUACUUGGGAGCCCUGGUGUGUGCUGUUCAUGACGGCUGUGUGGGCUUCCUGUGAAGAGAGCUUGCACAGUUUUCACACCCUGUGUUUGUCAAGUUUGUGUUGGAAGAAGUAGCAUAUGGUACAUGUAACUCUGUGAAGUUUGGAAA
Non-coding RNA from Taeniopygia guttata (zebra finch), 2294 nucleotides. The record is from RefSeq and is a predicted model, not a curated record. NCBI's taxonomy places the organism in Eukaryota, Metazoa, Chordata, Aves, Passeriformes, Estrildidae.